CACAAGCGGAGGAGCAUGUGGUUUAAUUCGAUGAUACGCGAGGAACCUUACCUGGGCUCGAACGUAAGAUGACUGUAGGUGAAAGCUUACAUCUCUUCGGAGCAUUUUACGAGGUGCUGCAUGGCUGUCGUCAGCUCGUGUCGUGAGAUGUUGGGUUAAGUCCCGCAACGAGCGCAACCCUUGCCUUUAGUUGCCAGCAGUUCGGCUGGGCACUCUAAAGGGACUGCCGGUGUUAAACCGGAGGAAGGUGGGGAUGACGUCAAGUCCUCAUGGCCUUUAUGACCAGGGCUACACACGUACUACAAUGGCCGAUACAAAGGGCAGCGACACUGCGAGGUGAAGCCAAUCCCGUAAAAUCGGUCUCAGUCCGGAUUGGAGUCUGCAACUCGACUCCAUGAAGUUGGAAUCGCUAGUAAUCGUGGAUCAGCAUGCCACGGUGAAUACGUUCCCGGGCCUU
Molecule: ribosomal RNA, 457 nt
Filed under: uncultured Desulfobulbus sp.
Lineage: Bacteria; Pseudomonadati; Thermodesulfobacteriota; Desulfobulbia; Desulfobulbales; Desulfobulbaceae
Description: bacterial SSU rRNA
Rfam family: Bacterial small subunit ribosomal RNA
Source: RNAcentral